This 23-nucleotide microRNA is filed under the name Cordylochernes scorpioides. The record is from RNAcentral. Lineage: Eukaryota; Metazoa; Arthropoda; Arachnida; Pseudoscorpiones; Chernetidae.
UCCCAUUUUUCAUUGAUCUCCGU